AUUGAACGCUGGCGGCAGGCCUAACACAUGCAAGUCGAGCGGAUGAAGCGAGCUUGCUCCUGGAUUCAGCGGCGGACGGGUGAGUAAUGCCUAGGAAUCUGCCUGGUAGUGGGGGAUAACGUCCGGAAACGGGCGCUAAUACUGCAUCCGUCCUGUGGUCGACAGUGGGGGAGCUUCGGACCUCACGCCAUCAGAUGAGCCUAGGUCGGAUUAGCUAGUUGGUGGGGUAAAGGCCUAACAAGGCGACGAUCCGUAACUGGUCUGAGAGGAUGAUCAGUCACACUGGAACUGAGGAACGGUCCAGACUCCUACAGGAGGAAGCAGUGCGGAAUAUUGGACGAUGGGCGAAAGCCGGAUACAGCCAUGCCGCGUGUAUGAAGAAGGUCUUCGGAUUGUAAAGCACUUUAAGUUGGGAGGAAGGACAGUAAGUUAAUACCUUGCUGUUUUGACGUUACCAACAGAAUAAGCACCGGCUAACUUCGUG
Molecule: ribosomal RNA, 484 nt
Filed under: uncultured bacterium
Lineage: Bacteria
Description: partial 16S ribosomal RNA
Rfam family: Bacterial small subunit ribosomal RNA
Source: RNAcentral